RNAcentral lists this small RNA (572 nucleotides) under Pan troglodytes (chimpanzee). RNAcentral describes it as "retained intron". Lineage: Eukaryota; Metazoa; Chordata; Mammalia; Primates; Hominidae. The record is from RNAcentral.
GUACGCGGGGCGUCUGGAACUUAAAGGGGCAGCGUACCUUGGCCGUCCAGUUCCACAACAAGGUCCCUUCUGCGGUCUCAAAGGCUUAUAAGCAAGGGCGGGGGCAGAGGGCUAAAGAAGGGAGUUUAUGCGGCCCGAGUGGGUAAUGCGUGGAGGACUCCCCCAACUCGUCUCUCAAGGAAAAGGGGGUUCAGAAAGGGAGAGAGUUCUUCCCCCUCUCCUGCCUGGGUGUCGCUCCACCAGCCUCCGGGCCGUCGCGCCCCCUCCUCACUGCGCCACCCCCGGGUGUGCCUCCUUCCCUCCGUCUCACACAGCCCCUUUCUUGUCCGCAAAGACUGAGGAGCGGGGAGGGCGGGCCCUCUGACACCGGAACUGGAGCCGUGCGGCGUCCGGUUUCAGCAGGGAAGGCUUAGGCGGGCGUCCCAGCCUCCGGGCUUCCGGUGCCGUUUCCCGGUUCGCUGGGCCGCGGUCGCUAUGGAGGAGCCGGAGAUGCAGCUCAAGGGGAAGAAAGCGCCGUGAAGAACCUGGUGGACAGCAGCGUCUACUUCCGCAGCGUGGAGGGUCUGCUCAAA